CUUGCUUCUUGAAAACCACUUUCUGGGCAGGGAUGUCGACGACACAAUGAAGUGAAAGUAUGUAUUCGUUCUUCGGUGGAUAUGUCCACUCGAAGACCUCUUUAAAACAGUUUGUCGAACAGUAUGAAAGGACGUUAAGGAAUAAGGUCGAGAAGGAGUUUCAGGCGAAAUUCAAGUCAUACUCACAAAUGGUGCCGUGUGCAACAACAUUUGAAAUGGAGAAGCAAUUUCAGUCUGCUUACACUAUUUUGAAGUUUAAGGAAGUGCAGGAGAAGUUCACAGGAAAGAUGUACUGUGACGUCGCUUCAGUCACAGAAGGUUGUUUUGGGACGACCUACGAGGUUCGAGAGUCUGUGAACUGCCCUGGAGGCAGGAAGAAGAAAACAUACAAUGUCUUGUACCGGAACGACACAUGCGAAGUUAUUUGUAGUUGCCAUAUGUUUGAGUUUCGAGGAAUUAAAUGUAGGCAUGCGAUCACCGUCUUAGACCGUAAUGACGUCACAAAAAUGCCAGAGAGGUAUAUAGUGCGGAGAUGGCGAAGAGAUGUCACUAGAGCGCAUACAAGGGUUCGUGUGAAGUACACUGGGCUGGUUAGCACUCUUGAACAAAUGAGAUGCGAUGACAUGUGUCAGGCAUUUGUAGAGGUGGCAGGCCUUGCUUGCACUGACGAAGUUCGAUCGCGUGCGAUUAUGGAUUGGAUACAAUGUCAAGCUGCAGAGUUACGGUCUUUGAAUUCUAGUUGUGGGAGCAAUGUUCUUUCACAAGCUACUGCUCACAUAGCGAGCCAAUGUAAUGAUUCACAAAAUAUCGUCGGCACGAGCAUAUUAGAUCCCAAAUUAUCGAAAAGGAAGGGGGCACCACGAAAACUUCGGAAAAAGGGCCCGUUGGAGUCGACUUCAAAAAAAGUGAAGGUAUGUUGUUGUACUAAACCCUUUAAUCAUAAAGAAUCUCAAUUACAAAAUUAUUUAAUGUUCGAUUUAUAUGUAGGUUGCUUCGACUUCAUGCAAAGGGAAGAGACCGAAAGAUACUCAUUUUCCCGUGGAAGCCGCUGCAUCAGUUGUACAUAUCACUCCAGAACUUCAAUGUUUGCAACCAACACCAUUCUCAUAUUCCCAGCUAUUGUUGUUACGUUUAUGGAUUUUCCCUAGUUUUAAGUUGAUGACUGUGCAUUUACGUUCUUAUUUGAUGUAGGGAGAUGCCAUGAGCCAAAUGUUUACCCAACAAUUACCUUCGUCUACUUUGAUCCCCCCCCCCCCCUCGUCGACUAAUGCCACAAAUCAAUUCAAGUUCAAUCCUCGGGUCCGUACUUUGCUCCACCACCUUUUUCGCAGCAACGUGCUACAUUUAUCGGAAUGGGUGAAGUUGUGUUAAAUUCCGAUCAGGUGAAAUUUUUCGUUUCUCUUAAAGUUUAUCAUGAUUUAUGCCUUUUUUCUCUGCUAUUCUUCAUUUAUUUUUACUGUUUUUGGGUGGCGUGCGGAGUGAUCUCGUUCAUAAUGGGAUCCCGUUAAUUGAAGUAGAAUAGAUUUAUUUUCUCUGCUAUUCUUUAAUGGCAUGAUUUUGGACUAUUUAACUCGUUUGGUUGUCAAGUGCUUGAUUUUGCUACUUUAAUUGUGAUCUGCUUAUUCUUCCCCUGGUUAGCUGAUUAUGAUUGAUGCUAAGUAAAACUUAGAAGACAGGGCAAUCAAGCGGGAAAUAUUUCUAUUUUCUUCUUUUGCGUUGUAAGAGUUGCGGCUACGUAAAGUGUCCUUUGCUGAUUCUGUACGAGUGACUGCUUGCUAUUUUACCGAUUUCUAGUAACGAGCUUGUUACCUUUUGGAGCUAAUGCCUAUGUACUGUUACAUAAAUUGUAUCUAUUGUUCCAUCUAUUGUAGUAUUUAUUUCAUAAAAGGCAUCCAUUCUAUAGUAGAACUAGUAUAUGGGUUCUUCCCUUUUUCUUUCUUUUUUUUUUUUUCUUGGUGGGUUCGUUUGAGUUCAAAACCUUCUCUACUUUCAUGGCAUAUUGAUCUUUAUCCCAAAAAAGCUAAUUUGUCUUGCUGAUGGGUUAAUAAAAAAUAUCUAUUUUCUUGCCAUCUAAAUUCAUAUAGCUGAUCCAUCCUUUCAUAUUUGACAUUGAUUAGCUGCAUUGUAGUUAAUAGUCGAAACUGUCAUCUCCUUCACUACUCUCAAAUUUGGCAACUACUCACCAAGGAUUCUGUAUUCUCAGGCUACAGCAAAAUCUGGAAGCAGCUCAAAAUCAUAGGAAUUCUUUCAUGAAUGGAUUGACAUUCUGCAAUGCAUGAAGAUCGAGAGUACAUUUUAUUUUGGGUUUUUGGCUUUUGAUUGUACUAUGUUAUUUUGGGUUUUUGGCUUUCGACUGUACUACGUCCCCAAACAUGUAAACAUGUUCUGUGACAUGUAUUGUGACAUGUAAACAUUUUAUUUUGGGUUUUCAACUUGUUUUGAGGCGUGCUACUGUAGGGUUCAUUUUAUGACAGAUUUGUCUCAUAGUUUUCAAUCUCUAAAUCAUUCCUUUCAGAAUUGAAAAGCUGUCCAAGUUAGAUAGGAG
Molecule: long non-coding RNA, 2545 nt
Filed under: Olea europaea subsp. europaea
Lineage: Eukaryota; Viridiplantae; Streptophyta; Magnoliopsida; Lamiales; Oleaceae
Source: RNAcentral